Molecule: long non-coding RNA, 737 nt
Filed under: Solanum tuberosum (potato)
Lineage: Eukaryota; Viridiplantae; Streptophyta; Magnoliopsida; Solanales; Solanaceae
Description: long non-coding RNA (STUB_LNC011694)
Source: RNAcentral
UACAUAAGAAAAAGCUGGAAUUCGAUCUUGGAAAUAAUUGACUCAAGCUCAUCAUACCUUUUUUUGUGACUCGACUCAAGCUCAUCAUAACCCUUUUUGUGACUCGACUCAAGCUCAUCAUACAUAAUCCGAUUUUCUCUUCUUCGUGUUCUAUUGAUCAGAAGCAUCCAGUAGCGCCUUGCCGGUUUAGAAUUCGAACACAAAAUGGCCAUACUUAAGCAAUUCUUCUUAUUCUUCUUCUUUCUUAGUUGAAGUUCUCCUUCUCCGGCAGCUAGUUCAAUGGUUUCUAAGCUGGACGACUGGUAUUCUCUGGAUGGACGGUAAAUCCAGGUAUGCUGCUGGUCCUUAGAAGGACCAAGGGAAUCCUGGUCUUCUCUCCUAACGAAUUUCCCCUUUGCUACUCCCUUUCGCUACCUGGAGCCAGGUUUUUUCUUAUUAUAGAUAAUGUACGCACAUGUGAUCUAUCUAAUUAAUGGACUAGCUUCACUAAGACUCAUUUGAUCUUCUAUAGCGACUUUCGGACCAUUCCAUUCAUUGUCUUCUUCUCAACCUCUCCUCGAUCACUGAACUGGGUUACUGAACUCCACCUUCUCGGAAUCCCAUUUCAGAAAGUCAGGUCGAAGGAAAAUGGAUUCCCUUGCUUGGGCAAUAAAAAGGUCUAUGAUUCUCAUCUCGAAAAAAGAGUUUAAAGCUACGGCACCUCCUAUAACUACACCACCAAGAUCGGGUAACAGAAC